Molecule: non-coding RNA, 20 nt
Filed under: Mus musculus (house mouse)
Lineage: Eukaryota; Metazoa; Chordata; Mammalia; Rodentia; Muridae
Source: RNAcentral
UCAAUAAAUAGGGAGUGAUG